This 465-nucleotide ribosomal RNA is filed under the name Vreelandella stevensii. RNAcentral's name for it is "partial 16S ribosomal RNA". It matches the Rfam family "Bacterial small subunit ribosomal RNA", at positions 338 to 795 of the family's 1533-position model. Lineage: Bacteria; Pseudomonadati; Pseudomonadota; Gammaproteobacteria; Oceanospirillales; Halomonadaceae. The record is from RNAcentral.
CCUACGGGGGGCUGCAGUGGGGAAUAUUGGACAAUGGGCGAAAGCCUGAUCCAGCCAUGCCGCGUGUGUGAAGAAGGCCUUCGGGUUGUAAAGCACUUUCAGUGGGGAAGAAAGCCUUGGGGCUAAUACCCUCGAGGAAGGACAUCACCCACAGAAGAAGCACCGGCUAACUCCGUGCCAGCAGCCGCGGUAAUACGGAGGGUGCGAGCGUUAAUCGGAAUUACUGGGCGUAAAGCGCGCGUAGGCGGUCUGAUAAGCCGGUUGUGAAAGCCCCGGGCUCAACCUGGGAACGGCAUCCGGAACUGUCAGGCUAGAGUGCAGGAGAGGAAGGUAGAAUUCCCGGUGUAGCGGUGAAAUGCGUAGAGAUCGGGAGGAAUACCAGUGGCGAAUGCGGCCUUCUGGACUGACACUGACGCUGAGGUGCGAAAGCGUGGGUAGCAAACAGGAUUAGAUACCCUAGUAGUC